UUAUUACUUASUUUAURCAUGSAAGUCUCCACACCCCUGUGAAAACGCCCUUAACCCCUACCAGGGGCAAGGAGCCGGKAUCRGGCACAAUUAUUAGCCCAAGACACCUAGCUACGCCACACCCACAAGGGAUCUCAGCAGUAAUUAACAUUGAAUAUAAGCGCCAGCUUGAUUCAGUUAAAGUAAAAAGGGCCGGCAAAUAUGGUGCCAGCCGCCGCGGUUACACCACAUGACCCAAAUUGACUUCCAAAACGGCGUAAAGCGUGAUUAAAGUUCACCCUAAACUGUAGCCAAACUAUUAAUUAGUCGUAAAACGCUUUUAAUUAGGAAGCCCAAAAACGAAAGUUACUACACACAAAACAACUUGAACUCACUACAGUCAGGACCCAAACUAGGAUUAGAUACCCUACUAUGCCUCUCUAUAAACUCUUAAUUUACACCACUAUCGCCAGAGUACUACAAGCAAAGCUUAAAACUCAAAGGACUUGACGGUGCCCCACAUCCCCCUAGAGGAGCCUGUCCUUUAAAUCGAUGAUCCCCGCUUAACCUCACCAUUUUUAGCUACCAGUCUGUAUACCUCCGUCGUCAGCUUACCGCAUGAGCGAUAUAAAGUAAGCUCAAUGUCCCUAAACCCUCAUCAAAACGUCAGGUCAAGGUGCAACUUAUAAAAUGGGAAGAGAUGGGCUACACUCUCUAACAUAGAACAAACGAAAAACUAACUGAAAAYUAGUYWGAAGGYSGAUUWAGAAGUAAAAAGAGWCCAGAAAACUCUUUUUAACUCGGCAMUGGGGNGUGUACACACCGCCCSUCWCCCUCUUCGUCAA
This 824-nucleotide non-coding RNA is filed under the name Hyloscirtus lascinius (Tabor treefrog). Its description in RNAcentral is "partial 12S ribosomal RNA". It matches the Rfam family "Bacterial small subunit ribosomal RNA", at positions 310 to 1412 of the family's 1533-position model. The record is from RNAcentral. Lineage: Eukaryota; Metazoa; Chordata; Amphibia; Anura; Hylidae.